UGACUGUAUAUUGAAGCGAAA
RNAcentral lists this non-coding RNA (21 nucleotides) under Caenorhabditis elegans. The record is from RNAcentral. Lineage: Eukaryota; Metazoa; Nematoda; Chromadorea; Rhabditida; Rhabditidae.